UUGCAAAUGUACGUGAUUAAAUCAACUAAGAACACGGCUGUAAUUAAGUAGUAAAGGUGUUUACGCUUGCAGCGAUAGUUUCAAUAUGGACUUAUAUAAUUAUUGGAACUUCGAUUAUAGCAUUUCGCACACAGCUAUAUUCCCUAAUAAGCACGAUUACUGUGGCAAUGUGGGCCGGUUUCCACUUCAUCCAGCUGGCAGUAUUGUCUAUAAUGAACGAUACAUUUAUGAAAGAAGUCAAGAAUACAAAACUGCUUUGUAUACGCAUCUUGUCAUACAGUUUCGAUGAUGCAGUAAUGAAGAUAGCGAGCAAAAUUCUUCGAGAGUUCAAAUAUUCACCGCCGACAUUUUCUGUCUACGGCAUAUUUAUCUUAGAUACAAGAAUUACACUGCACUUGUUGAGCCUUGUUACAGCCAAUAUAAUGAUUGUAAUACAGUUUUCGUACUAAUUAACCACCGAUGCUUACAUCUAGAUACUAGACCUUUUGUCCUUAAACUUAUAUUUUAUUUUUAAUAUAAGUACUAUUUCGCAAAAUUUAUCAAGCAUAAUUCUAAUUUCUUUUUCCCUUUUAUUAAUUCGAUAAAAUGAGAAUUUUUUUUCGGGUAUAACGGUAAACUAUUGGUAUAUACGUAACCUAUAGUUUAUUAUGUAGUAUAGAAAUAUUUAUAAAGAAGUCGAGGGUAGUGCGACCCGCCUGUUCUCGAUCUACCGUUUUAAUAAAAAUCAGUCUCGUUU
Long non-coding RNA from Manduca sexta (tobacco hornworm), 736 nucleotides. RefSeq lists it as uncharacterized. The record is from RefSeq and is a predicted model, not a curated record. The transcript is spliced from 4 exons. NCBI's taxonomy places the organism in Eukaryota, Metazoa, Arthropoda, Insecta, Lepidoptera, Sphingidae.